RNAcentral lists this ribosomal RNA (391 nucleotides) under uncultured bacterium. RNAcentral's name for it is "partial 16S ribosomal RNA". It matches the Rfam family "Bacterial small subunit ribosomal RNA", at positions 523 to 917 of the family's 1533-position model. The record is from RNAcentral.
AUACGUAGGUGGCAAGCGUUAUCCGGAAUUAUUGGGCGUAAAGAGGGAGCAGGCGGCAGCAAGGGUCUGUGGUGAAAGCCUGAAGCUUAACUUCAGUAAGCCAUAGAAACCAGGCAGCUAGAGUGCAGGAGAGGAUCGUGGAAUUCCAUGUGUAGCGGUGAAAUGCGUAGAUAUAUGGAGGAACACCAGUGGCGAAGGCGACGAUCUGGCCUGCAACUGACGCCCAGUCCCGAAAGCGUGGGGAGCAAAUAGGAUUAGAUACCCUAGUAGUCCACGCCGUAAACGAUGAGUACUAAGUGUUGGAUGUCAAAGUUCAGUGCUGCAGUUAACGCAAUAAGUACUCCGCCUGAGUAGUACGUUCGCAAGAAUGAAACUCAAAGGAAUUGACGGG